Molecule: ribosomal RNA, 611 nt
Filed under: Desulfurivibrio alkaliphilus
Lineage: Bacteria; Pseudomonadati; Thermodesulfobacteriota; Desulfobulbia; Desulfobulbales; Desulfobulbaceae
Description: bacterial SSU rRNA
Rfam family: Bacterial small subunit ribosomal RNA
Source: RNAcentral
GCGGCGUGCUUAACACAUGCAAGUCGAACGAGAAAGGGGCUUCGGCCCUGAGUAGAGUGGCGCACGGGUGAGUAACGCGUAAGUAACCUGCCCUUCUAUCUGGGAUAACAGUUCGAAAGGGCUGCUAAUACCGGAUAUUCUUGCCGGCCAUAAGGUUGGUAAGGAAAGGUGACCUCUUCUUGAAAGUUACCGUAGAGGGAGGGGCUUGCGUACCAUUAGCUAGUUGGUGGGGUAACGGCUUACCAAGGCGACGAUGGUUAGCGGGUUUGAGAGGAUGAUCCGCCACACUGGAACUGAAACACGGACCAGACUCCUACGGGAGGCAGCAGUGAGGAAUAUUGCGCAAUGGGGGCAACCCUGACGCAGCGACGCCGCGUGAGUGAAGAAGGCCUUCGGGUUGUAAAGCUCUGUCGGAAGGGAAGAACGGUUCAGGUGUUAAUACCAUCUGGAUUUGACGGUACCUUCAAAGGAAGCACCGGCUAACUCCGUGCCAGCAGCCGCGGUAAUACGGAGGGUGCGAGCGUUAAUCGGAAUUACUGGGCGUAAAGGGCGCGUAGGCGGCCCUGCAAGUCAGUUGUGAAAGCCCACGGCUCAACCGUGGAUGUGCAAUU